Molecule: non-coding RNA, 46 nt
Organism: Schistocephalus solidus
Lineage: Eukaryota; Metazoa; Platyhelminthes; Cestoda; Diphyllobothriidea; Diphyllobothriidae
Source: Rfam
UCAAAAGAUUUAUUCAAAUCUACCAAAAUCUUCUACCAAUAAUUAG